UGCGAGAAAAGUGACGAGGAAACCAAGUGACUCAAUGACUAACUUGACAUGGAAGAUGGCAACUUUAGACCAAUCUAAUACUGCAGGAACUUGAUGAACAAACAAGCACAGAUAUGUUGAAUAAUGAAUUGGUUGACCUGGUGAUGAGCUGCAAUCAUUGGAAUUAGGGACCUGGGCCUACAUAGAGAAUCGGUGCACGUGGGACUAUGUUUGAUAUUCCUUUGCUAGAAAGGCCGCUAUUAGACGGUUUGAGAGAGGCUGAUAUGUUGAGCAGAGGAGACAAGAUAAUAUGUCAGGAGAGGCUUCAUUUUAUUGUGAAAUAGAGGCAGCAAAUCCACACUGCUGAGAAAUGAACUCAAUCAAAGUCUUAAGAAGUACCUCUGCGUUCAACACAUGAACAUUGCCUCAUGGAUAACGGAGACGGACUACAACCGCAACCUUUUGUC
Molecule: long non-coding RNA, 446 nt
Organism: Lytechinus variegatus (green sea urchin)
Lineage: Eukaryota; Metazoa; Echinodermata; Echinoidea; Temnopleuroida; Toxopneustidae
Exons: 3
Source: RefSeq, a predicted model, not a curated record